Molecule: ribosomal RNA, 771 nt
Filed under: Entrophospora etunicata
Lineage: Eukaryota; Fungi; Glomeromycota; Glomeromycetes; Entrophosporales; Entrophosporaceae
Description: SSU rRNA
Rfam family: Eukaryotic small subunit ribosomal RNA
Source: RNAcentral
CGGGCUGGUACGGGUACGGGGAUUAGGGUUCGAUUCCGGAGAGGGAGCCUGAGAAACGGCUACCACAUCCAAGGAAGGCAGCAGGCGCGCAAAUUACCCAAUCCCGACACGGGGAGGUAGUGACAAUAAAUAACAAUACGGGGCUCUUUCGGGUCUCGUAAUUGGAAUGAGUACAAUUUAAAUCCCUUAACGAGGAACAAUUGGAGGGCAAGUCUGGUGCCAGCAGCCGCGGUAAUUCCAGCUCCAAUAGCGUAUAUUAAAGUUGUUGCAGUUAAAAAGCUCGUAGUUGAAUUUCGGGAUUGACACAUCGGUCGUGCCCUAAGGGGUAUGAACUGGUGUAGUCAAUUUCUCACCUUCUGGAGAACCGCGAUGCCCUUAAUUGGGUGUCACGGGGAACCAGGACCUUUACUUUGAAAAAAUCAGAGUGUUUAAAGCAGGCAUUUUGCUUGAAUACAUUAGCAUGGAAUAAUAAAAUAGGACGGCAUGAUUCUAUUUUGUUGGUUUCUAGGAUCACCGUAAUGAUUAAUAGGGAUAGUUGGGGGCAUUAGUAUUCAAUUGUCAGAGGUGAAAUUCUUGGAUUUAUUGAAGACUAACUACUGCGAAAGCAUUUGCCAAGGAUGUUUUCAUUAAUCAAGAACGAAAGUUAGGGGAUCGAAGACGAUCAGAUACCGUCGUAGUCUUAACCAUAAACUAUGCCGACUAGGAAUCAGACGAUGUUAAUUUUUUAAUGACUCGUUUGGCACCUUACGGGAAACCAAAGUGUUUGGGUUC